Molecule: transfer RNA, 72 nt
Filed under: Bos taurus (domestic cattle)
Lineage: Eukaryota; Metazoa; Chordata; Mammalia; Artiodactyla; Bovidae
Also listed under: 3 other names
Rfam family: tRNA
About the family: Transfer RNA (tRNA) molecules are approximately 80 nucleotides in length.
Source: Rfam by way of RNAcentral
UCCCUGGUGGCUCAGAUGGUAAAGCAUCUGCCUGCAAAGUGGGCGAUCCAGGUUUGAUCCCUGGCUCAGAAA